UGCCCAGACUCCUACGGGAGGCAGCAGUGGGGAAUAUUGCACAAUGGGGGAAACCCUGAUGCAGCGACGCCGCGUGAGUGAAGAAGUAUUUCGGUAUGUAAAGCUCUAUCAGCAGGAACGAGACAAGACGGUACCUGACUAAGAAGCCCCGGCUAACUACGUGCCAGCAGCCGCGGUAAUACGUAGGGGGCAAGCGUUAUCCGGAUUUACUGGGUGUAAAGGGAGCGUAGACGGUUAUGUAAGUCUGGAGUGAAAGCCCGGGGCCCAACCCCGGGACUGCUUUGGAAACUGUGUAACUGGAGUACAGGAGGGGCAGGCGGAAUUCCUGGUGUAGCGGUGAAAUGCGUAGAUAUCAGGAGGAACACCGGCGGCGAAGGCGGCCUGCUGGACUGAAACUGACGUUGAGGCUCGAAAGCGUGGGGAGCAAACAGGAUUAGAUACCCCCGUAU
RNAcentral lists this ribosomal RNA (449 nucleotides) under uncultured bacterium. RNAcentral describes it as "bacterial SSU rRNA". It matches the Rfam family "Bacterial small subunit ribosomal RNA", at positions 328 to 793 of the family's 1533-position model. The record is from RNAcentral.